AGUGAACGCUGGCGGUAGGCCUAACACAUGCAAGUCGAACGGCAGCACAGUAAGAGCUUGCUCUUACGGGUGGCGAGUGGCGGACGGGUGAGGAAUACAUCGGAAUCUACUUUUUCGUGGGGGAUAACGUAGGGAAACUUACGCUAAUACCGCAUACGACCUACGGCUGAAAGCAGUGGAUCUUCGGACCUUGCGCGAUUGAAUGAGCCGAUGCCGGAUUAGCUAGUUGGCGGGGUAAAGGCCCACCAAGGCGACGAUCCGUAGCUGGUCUGAGAGGAUGAUCAGCCACACUGGAACUGAGACACGGUCCAGACUCCUACGGGAGGCAGCAGUGGGGAAUAUUGGACAAUGGGCGCAAGCCUGAUCCAGCCAUACCGCGUGGGUGAAGAAGGCCUUCGGGUUGUAAAGCCCUUUUGUUGGGAAAGAAAAGCAGCAGGUUAAUACCCCGCUGUUCUGACGGUACCCAAAGAAUAAGCACCGGCUAACUUCGUG
Molecule: ribosomal RNA, 492 nt
Filed under: uncultured bacterium
Lineage: Bacteria
Description: partial 16S ribosomal RNA
Rfam family: Bacterial small subunit ribosomal RNA
Source: RNAcentral